UACGUAGGGAGCAAGCGUUAUCCGGAUUUAUUGGGUGUAAAGGGUGCGUAGGCGGCUAUGCAAGUCAGUAGUGAAAUCCAUGGGCUUAACCCAUGAACUGCUAUUGAAACUGCACAGCUUGAGUGAAGUAGAGGUAGGCGGAAUUCCCGGUGUAGCGGUGAAAUGCGUAGAGAUCGGGAGGAACACCAGUGGCGAAGGCGGCCUACUGGGCUUUAACUGACGCUGAGGCACGAAAGCGUGGGUAGCAAACAGG
This 253-nucleotide ribosomal RNA is filed under the name uncultured bacterium. Its description in RNAcentral is "partial 16S ribosomal RNA". It matches the Rfam family "Bacterial small subunit ribosomal RNA", at positions 524 to 776 of the family's 1533-position model. The record is from RNAcentral.